UCAACGCGAAGAACCUUACCAAAUCUUGACAUCCUUUGAAAACUCUAGAGAUAGAGCUUUCCCCUUCGGGGGACAAAGUGACAGGUGGUGCAUGGUUGUCGUCAGCUCGUGUCGUGAGAUGUUGGGUUAAGUCCCGCAACGAGCGCAACCCUUAUCUUUAGUUGCCAUCAUUAAGUUGGGCACUCUAGAGAGACUGCCGGUGACAAACCGGAGGAAGGUGGGGAUGACGUCAAAUCAUCAUGCCCCUUAUGAUUUGGGCUACACACGUGCUACAAUGGAUGGUACAAAGGGCAGCAAAACCGCGAGGUCAAGCAAAUCCCAUAAAACCAUUCUCAGUUCGGAUUGUAGUCUGCAACUCGACUACAUGAAGCUGGAAUCGCUAGUAAUCGUAGAUCAGCAUGCUACGGUGAAUACGUUCCCGGGUCUUGUACACACCGA
This 438-nucleotide ribosomal RNA is filed under the name uncultured Staphylococcus sp. RNAcentral's name for it is "bacterial SSU rRNA". It matches the Rfam family "Bacterial small subunit ribosomal RNA", at positions 956 to 1393 of the family's 1533-position model. Lineage: Bacteria; Bacillati; Bacillota; Bacilli; Caryophanales; Staphylococcaceae. The record is from RNAcentral.